This 690-nucleotide ribosomal RNA is filed under the name Bacillus licheniformis. Its description in RNAcentral is "bacterial SSU rRNA". It matches the Rfam family "Bacterial small subunit ribosomal RNA", at positions 56 to 728 of the family's 1533-position model. The record is from RNAcentral. Lineage: Bacteria; Bacillati; Bacillota; Bacilli; Caryophanales; Bacillaceae.
UGCAGUCGAGCGGACCGACGGGAGCUUGCUCCCUUAGGUCAGCGGCGGACGGGUGAGUAACACGUGGGUAACCUGCCUGUAAGACUGGGAUAACUCCGGGAAACCGGGGCUAAUACCGGAUGCUUGAUUGAACCGCAUGGUUCAAUCAUAAAAGGUGGCUUUNAGCUACCACUUACAGAUGGACCCGCGGCGCAUUAGCUAGUUGGUGAGGUAACGGCUCACCAAGGCGACGAUGCGUAGCCGACCUGAGAGGGUGAUCGGCCACACUGGGACUGAGACACGGCCCAGACUCCUACGGGAGGCAGCAGUAGGGAAUCUUCCGCAAUGGACGAAAGUCUGACGGAGCAACGCCGCGUGAGUGAUGAAGGUUUUCGGAUCGUAAAACUCUGUUGUUAGGGAAGAACAAGUACCGUUCGAAUAGGGCGGUACCUUGACGGUACCUAACCAGAAAGCCACGGCUAACUACGUGCCAGCAGCCGCGGUAAUACGUAGGUGGCAAGCGUUGUCCGGAAUUAUUGGGCGUAAAGCGCGCGCAGGCGGUUUCUUAAGUCUGAUGUGAAAGCCCCCGGCUCAACCGGGGAGGGUCAUUGGAAACUGGGGAACUUGAGUGCAGAAGAGGAGAGUGGAAUUCCACGUGUAGCGGUGAAAUGCGUAGAGAUGUGGAGGAACACCAGUGGCGAAGGCGACUCU